Molecule: unclassified non-coding RNA, 336 nt
Filed under: soil metagenome
Description: partial contains 5.8S ribosomal RNA, internal transcribed spacer 2, and large subunit ribosomal RNA
Rfam family: 5.8S ribosomal RNA (bases 1-120)
Source: RNAcentral
GAUGAAGAACGUAGCAAAAUGCGAUACGUAAUGUGAAUUGCAGAAUUCAGUGAAUCAUCGAAUCUUUGAACGCACAUUGCGCCCGCCAGCAUUCUGGCGGGCAUGCCUGUUCGAGCGUCAUUUCAACCCUCAAGCUCUGCUUGGUGUUGGGGCCCUACGUCUGACGUAGGCCCUCAAAGACAGUGGCGGACCCUCUCGGAGCCUCCUUUGCGUAGUAACUAACGUCUCGCACUGGGAUUCGGAGGGACUCUUGCCGUAAAACCCCCAAUUUUUACAGGUUGACCUCGGAUCAGGUAGGAAUACCCGCUGAACUUAAGCAUAUCAAUAAGCGGAGGA